AUGACACCGUUAGCCAGCAGUGUGUCUCCUGAAAAGAGAGCUGAUUAGAGAGGCAGUUUUGAAUUUAGGAGUGGCAAGAUGGCAGCGGCAAACCCUGGCGGUUCUCCGGGUUCGUGGCAACCACGGAUGGGGAAAAUGUGGAGGUUGCACGGCUGAUGUUUACUGUUCAUGGCACAGCAAGAGGCAGUUUUAUUUCAGGAAUGAGUGAGCACAAUCAAAGAAUAGAGCGACUGUGGAGAGACCUCUGGGUGGCCAUUACAUGCUUUACUACGAUGUUCUUCACAACCUUGAGGAAGAAGACCUUCUUGACAUUUCAAAUGCUGCACACCUCUUUUGCUGCCAUUACGUCUUUCUUCCUCGACUGGAGGAUGAUUUUAAUACAUUUUGCAGUGGAUGGGACAACCAUCCACUGCGAAC
Oreochromis aureus is the source of this 417-nucleotide long non-coding RNA. RefSeq lists it as uncharacterized. The transcript is spliced from 4 exons. Lineage: Eukaryota; Metazoa; Chordata; Actinopteri; Cichliformes; Cichlidae. The record is from RefSeq and is a predicted model, not a curated record.